Molecule: RNA transcript, 1023 nt
Organism: Salvia splendens (bonfire salvia)
Lineage: Eukaryota; Viridiplantae; Streptophyta; Magnoliopsida; Lamiales; Lamiaceae
Exons: 3
Source: RefSeq, a predicted model, not a curated record
AGAAUAGUGAAUAAAGAAAUACUCCUAAUUAGUGUGGUGGAGAUGGUCAGGGCAUCUCUUUCUCUCUCUUUCUUCCACAAAGCUUGAAAUACACAUAGCAGUGGGAUAUGUUUGGCAUGCCCUCAUCAUUCACAUCAAAACCCUAAUUACCAACAAACAAUUGCUUUGAUUUCUGUGACUACUAAUUUAACACAAAUUCUUCUGCUCUCUCUCUCUCUCUCUCUCUCCAAACACACACUUUGAGUAUAUAUAUAUAUAUAUACGGCGGCAGUAUAUGCCAAAAGGCUAACAACAUUGUGUGCUACCACAAAAGAGGAUCAACUUGUUCAAGCUGGACCAAAUCAGAUCACACACAGAGACACAAAUAUCUGAUUUUCCAAGUUCAUCACACUCUUCCUGGUGGGGCGUAUAUAUUCACAACAAGAAUAUACUAUUAAUCAAACCAACACAGAAUAUUUCUAAGGUUCCAAGAAUCAGAUUUUAUGAAUCAGUUCGACAAGGAAUACAUGAAAAUGGCCAUGCUCAAGCACGAGGAAACAUUUCGAGAGCAGGUUUUUGAGCUCCAUCGCCUGCAUCGAAUACAGAAAAUGCUGAUGAAAGACAUGGAAAAAAACGCACGAAUGGAUAGGAGUAGCACCACCACUAGUACGUGUAACGGGCCGGAGCCAAGGCCCGAACAGGCCGGGGAAUCGGUUGGAAAAUGUGGAGUUCCGGAGACCGGAUAUGAUGAUCAGACCAAUCUUGAGCUGACUUUGGGCCCGAGAAGUUUCUAUGAGAAGAAAGUGUCCGGGCCGACAACGGGAUCGAGAAGCCCGUCAUUAAAAUGGGGGCCCGAGACUCCAGUUUCGAAUAGCCCGCCUUGGCUAUUCCAUGCCCUCAGCCUAAAUAUGACAUGAUCAUAAUUUUCAUCUUAAUUAUCAUAAGUAGGAGUAAUUUGUUACUAUUAUUACAUGUACUGAUGAUUCUCAUGUCAAUGUUGAUUGUAAUUGGAUUUCAAUUUUAAGAAAUCUUAUUUAGUUCUCA